Molecule: long non-coding RNA, 231 nt
Filed under: Gallus gallus (chicken)
Lineage: Eukaryota; Metazoa; Chordata; Aves; Galliformes; Phasianidae
Source: RNAcentral
GACCCGGGCACCGCCUGCACCGCCUGGUAGGUGACAGGGCCGAGAGGGGCUGCUGGGCUGGCCUCUGGCUCAGCCGGGGUCUGCACUUGGCGGUGCUGCUGCUUCAGCUCCUCGAUCUGCUGCAGGGUGAAGAAGGGGCGGCGGCGGCAGGGCGGCUCCUCGGGGUGCCUCUGUGCCCACUCCUCAAAGGAGUCGGCGUGGCGGCAGUGCACGUGGAGGCGCAGGUUCUUC